Molecule: long non-coding RNA, 1348 nt
Filed under: Anser cygnoides (Swan goose)
Lineage: Eukaryota; Metazoa; Chordata; Aves; Anseriformes; Anatidae
Description: lncRNA (ENSACDG00005014255.1)
Source: RNAcentral
AUGUGUUCAAUUAUUUGUUCCAGUUUGGUUUUUCAUUUUCUUUUCCUGGGAUUUCAUGUUACUUCUAAUGUCAUUUUUCCUUUCAGAGAAGUAGCUGAAAUCAAGAGCUGUGGAUUUGGAGGAGUGGACACUGAGAAUGCCCGUCCCACACGUCAGUGCUGUUUGAGAUACGGUGAAGCUGUGCCAGUGACAACCAUGAGAAGAGCUCUCUGCUCAGAUGGUUUCAGAGGCUGUCUACAUCCAGAGAAAGGUAAGAAUAAAUGUAAAGUUCCUGUUGCCAUUAGAGAUGAACAAAUGUUUGAGAGAAAUCCUCGCUGGUCUCCAGCUGGACAGGGGCUGUGGCAGUGACCUUCUCCUGUCUCCACAACCAAUUUAGCAGGACACCUCCACGCUUUUCCAAAGCCUAGAAUUUAACAAAACCAUACUGGGGUGCUCCAAAGAGGUGUGAGUCCUCUCCCAGCAGCACAAGAGCAGGAUGGGAAAGAUGGCGUGGCCCAGGCCAUUGCAGACCAAGCCCUUUCCUUGCCACUGACUUGCUUCAGUGAGAGCCUUCCCCGUCCGGGCUUGUCCCUGCUCCAGUCUUUGGGCUGUUUCACUUAGGAGCUUCCCAGGAAAGACGACCAGCGUGCUGAGGGUCUCCUGCAGUGCCUCGCGUGUUGGGGCGGGUGGGAAACCAGCCUGGAGGGGACGAGGUGGCACAGCUUCUCUGGUGCAGCAUCCUGGGGACGGUGGUGACUCAGUUGCUGUCUGUCACCCCAGUGCAGUCUUCCGGGGCUCGCUGCAGGUUUGUCAAGGAGCGCAGCACAGCAGGCACAAUUUGUCAAAAUGGUCUGAAAACUGACAACAUAUCUCUGGCAUUGAGUGAGUUUUUAAAAAAGUAACAUUCAGGGUAAUCUGACAUCUGUUCUCAGCCAGCUAUCGGGUCUGACAAUAGGGAAUGUAAGCACAAUAGGAUGUCACAUGAAGAGGUCUGAAUUUCACAUUGUUUCUUCUCCUUUAUGCUGGAAUAAUUUCUUAGCAGUGUAGAAAACCUAUUUCUCACCCUUUCGCAUUCUCCUGGCAGAUCUUUGAAUAUUAAUGCUGUCUCUGGCAUCCAUGAGUCAAAGCACUCUGCGCUGGGUUGAUGAGGGUUGUAGGACAUGAGCGACAUCCCCAUCUCCUGCACGGGCAGCGAGCAAAGUCCCCGUGCUGCAGUGGCACCUCGUGCUGCGGUACAGGGCGGCACUCACUUGGCAGGACCCUGGCCUGGGAAUUGGGAGGCCGAGAUUUAUCGAGCAGCUCUGGCACUGGCUUGCCUUUUGUCCAUGCUCUGCUGGUGACGUCAAAAGCACGGUGACUGUUCUUCAAA